GAUGAGCGCUGGCGGCGUGCCUAAUACAUGCAAGUCGAGCGAACGGACGAGAAGCUUGCUUCUCUGAUGUUAGCGGCGGACGGGUGAGUAACACGUGGAUAACCUACCUAUAAGACUGGGAUAACUUCGGGAAACCGGAGCUAAUACCGGAUAAUAUUUUGAACCGCAUGGUUCAAAAGUGAAAGACGGUCUUGCUGUCACUUAUAGAUGGAUCCGCACUGCAUUAGCUAGUUGGUAAGGUAACGGCUUACCAAGGCAACGAUGCAUAGCCGACCUGAGAGGGUGAUCGGCCACACUGGAACUGAGACACGGUCCAGACUCCUACGGGAGGCAGCAGUAGGGAAUCUUCCGCAAUGGGCGAAAGCCUGACGGAGCAACGCCGCGUGAGUGAUGAAGGUCUUCGGAUCGUAAAACUCUGUUAUUAGGGAAGAACAUAUGUGUAAGUAACUGUGCACAUCUUGACGGUACCUAAUCAGAAAGCCACGGCUAACUACGUG
RNAcentral lists this ribosomal RNA (497 nucleotides) under uncultured bacterium. Its description in RNAcentral is "partial 16S ribosomal RNA". It matches the Rfam family "Bacterial small subunit ribosomal RNA", at positions 28 to 507 of the family's 1533-position model. The record is from RNAcentral.